RNAcentral lists this ribosomal RNA (165 nucleotides) under uncultured Pseudoalteromonadaceae bacterium. RNAcentral describes it as "partial 16S ribosomal RNA". It matches the Rfam family "Bacterial small subunit ribosomal RNA", at positions 586 to 749 of the family's 1533-position model. The record is from RNAcentral. Lineage: Bacteria; Pseudomonadati; Pseudomonadota; Gammaproteobacteria; Alteromonadales; Pseudoalteromonadaceae.
AGCGAGAUGUGAAAGCCCCGGGCUCAACCUGGGAACUGCAUUUCGAACUGGCAAACUAGAGUGUGAUAGAGGGUGGUAGAAUUUCAGGUGUAGCGGUGAAAUGCGUAGAGAUCUGAAGGAAUACCGAUGGCGAAGGCAGCCACCUGGGUCAACACUGACGCUCAU